UGAUGACUGUUCCUCCUAUUGCCUUCAGGCCUUGGCACUAGGAUUUUAGGUCAUCAUAAAUUAAAAUUUGAUUUUCUUCACUCAGAGAAUAUUACGAUAAUGGGAUUAUCUGUUUAUUCUCUGAAAUUUGCGGAAUCAAACAUCU
Molecule: small nucleolar RNA, 145 nt
Organism: Vulpes vulpes (red fox)
Lineage: Eukaryota; Metazoa; Chordata; Mammalia; Carnivora; Canidae
Gene: SNORA79
Product: small nucleolar RNA, H/ACA box 79
Source: Ensembl